Molecule: long non-coding RNA, 2999 nt
Organism: Xiphophorus couchianus (Monterrey platyfish)
Lineage: Eukaryota; Metazoa; Chordata; Actinopteri; Cyprinodontiformes; Poeciliidae
Exons: 3
Source: RefSeq, a predicted model, not a curated record
UCGGGCCUGAUACUGCCUCUAGUGGCGUGGGGUGGUAACACAACUAAUAUAAUUACAUUACUAAAUCAGAAUAGCACAAAGGCUUUAUUAUUUACUAUUAAUUUCGCCAUUACUGGACCCGUAAAUACGGAAGAGGAUUAGGGCCACCGAAAAAACCCCCAACAAAUUCUGACUUUAAUCUUUUUUUUCUUUCGGUGGCCCUAAUCCUCUUCCGUACAUAAAAGAUAAAUGAUCUUCUAACACACCAAAUUUUUCCAUUUUCUUCAGGAUGUAGAGCUAAUAGUCUCUACAUCAGCUGGUUGAUGUCUUUUCUGUUUCUCAGUUCAGAGCUGCAGUAUUUUUAGCGUUUGCUCCCAGUAUUUUUAGAAGAUUGUGCCAAAUGUUCCUUCAUGCACAAAAGCAGAGCCACUAACAUUCCUUCAGUUGGUUAAAAACUGUAAGCACAACCUUGUAGAUGACCCCGUGACCUUUUGGUGUUUGAUGUGAGCCCAGUGAAUGACCAGGGACCAGAGACCUUAGGACUCUGUCAUGCUGUCUCUGUGUUUUGUCUCUCUGUGGUCGUCUCUCGUUGUGCCUUUUGUCUCCCAGUGGUGUUUCAUACCACUUUGUCUCCUCUGUUAGCUUCUGAUGAGCGAAGGCCUGCAGGUCGUUACAGGAAGCUGGUUGUUACAGGAAGCUCGUUGUUACAGGAAGCUUGUUGUAACAGGAAGCUGGUUGUUACAGGAAGCUCGUUGUUACAGGAAGCUUGUUGUAACAGGAAGCUUGUUGUAACAGGAAGCUUGUUGUAACAGGAAGCUGGUUGUAACAGGAAGCUGGUUGUUACAGGAAGCUGGUUGUUACAGGAAGCUGGUUGUAACAGGAAGCUGGUUGUUACAGGAAGUGUGUCGUUACAGGAAGCUGGUUGUAACAGGAAGCUUGUUGUAACAGGAAGCUGGUUGUUACAGGAAGCUCGUUGUUACAGGAAGCUGGUUGUUACAGGAAGUGUGUUGUUACAGGAAGCGUGUUGUUACAGGAAGCUUGUUGUAACAGGAAGCUGGUUGUAACAGGAAGCUUGUUGUAACAGGAAGCUGGUUGUAACAGGAAGCUGGUUGUUACAGGAAGCUGGUUGUUACAGGAAGCUGGUUGUAACAGGAAGCUGGUUGUUACGGGAAGCUCGUUGUUACGGGAAGCUUGUUGUUACAGGAAGCUGGUUGUUACAGGAAGCUGGUUGUAACAGGAAGCUGGUUGUUACAGGAAGUGUGUCGUUACAGGAAGCUUGUAACAGGAAGCUGGUUGUAACAGGAAGCUUGUUGUAACAGGAAGCUGGUUGUUACAGGAAGCUGGUUGUAACAGGAAGCUGGUUGUUACAGGAAGCUGGUUGUAACAGGAAGCUGGUUGUUACAGGAAGUGUGUCGUUACAGGAAGCUUGUUGUAACAGGAAGCUGGUUGUAACAGGAAGCUUGUUGUAACAGGAAGCUGGUUGUUACAGGAAGCUCGUUGUUACAGGAAGCUGCUUGUAACAGGAAGCUGGUUGUAACAGGAAGCUUGUUGUAACAGGAAGCUGGUUGUUACAGGAAGCUGGUUGUAACAGGAAGCUUGUUGUUACAGGAAGCUGGUUGUUACAGGAAGCUCGUUGUUACAGGAAGCUGGUUGUUACAGGAAGUGUGUUGUUACAGGAAGCGUGUUGUUACAGGAAGCUUGUUGUAACAGGAAGCUGGUUGUUACAGGAAGCUGGUUGUAACAGGAAGCUGGUUUUUACAGGAAGUGUGUCGUUACAGGAAGCUUCCUGUAACAGGAAGCUUGUUGUAACAGGAAGCUUGUUGUAACAGGAAGCUGGUUGUUACAGGAAGCUGGUUGUUACAGGAAGCUUGUUGUUACAGGAAGCUUGUUGUAACAGGAAGCUUGUUGUAACAGGAAGCUGGUUGUAACAGGAAGCUGGUUGUAACAGGAAGCUGGUUGUAACAGGAAGCUGGUUGUAACAGGAAGCUUGUUGUAACAGGAAGCUGGUUGUAACAGGAAGCUGGUUGUUACAGGAAGCUGGUUGUUACAGGAAGCUGGUUGUUACAGGAAGCUGGUUGUAACAGGAAGCUGGUUGUAACAGGAAGCUGGUUGUUACAGGAAGCUUGUUGUAACAGGAAGCUGGUUGUAACAGGAAGCUUGUUGUAACAGGAAGCUGGUUGUAACAGGAAGCUGGUUGUUACAGGAAGCUGGUUGUUACAGGAAGCUGGUUGUAACAGGAAGCUGGUUGUUACAGGAAGCUGGUUGUAACAGGAAGCUGGUUGUUACAGGAAGCUGGUUGUUACAGGAAGCUGGUUGUUACAGGAAGCGUGUUGUUACAGGAAGCUUGUUGUAACAGGAAGCUGGUUGUUACAGGAAGCUGGUUGUUACAGGAAGCUGGUUGUUACAGGAAGCUGGUUGUUACAGGAAGCUGCUUGUUACAGGAAGCUGGUUGUAACAGGAAGCUUGUUGUAACAGGAAGCUGGUUGUAACAGGAAGCUUGUUGUUACAGGAAGCUGGUUGUUACAGGAAGCUGGUUGUUACAGGAAGCUUGUUGUAACAGGAAGCUGGUUGUAACAGGAAGUGUGUUACUUCGUGGCGGGGAAAAUAUUUCGUAGUUUGUCACAGAAACAUCUUUGGGUUUGAGGCAAUAAAACUCUUGGAUUUGUUUUUGAUUUUCUUGAAUUGUUGAAAUGUAUUGAUUGUAAGUUGAAUGGUGACUUUUGGUGCCAAUGCAAUAGUAGUGAUCAAUAAGUAACAAUGUUCAGACAAUCGUCUGGGCCUGGAUCAAAUGAACUGAAAGUUUCCUAAAUGAACUGUACCUGAGUCUGAUCCUGGAGAAAAAGACUUUUAUUUCUUCUGAUAAUGAUGUAACGUUGAUUUGUGGACCUGGAAGUGUUUCUCUGUCUGUUUUCAGGGUUUCUGUUGACCUUUCACCUCCUCUGUAGCGCCUUGUUGUUACAGAUUUGUUGUCGGCUCAAAGUGCUUUUCCAUCAGAGUAAAUAAAGUUGCUCGUUCUCACC